AGCACUCUAUUUGAUUUUCUUCGGAAAUGAAGAUUUUGUGACUGAGUGGCGGACGGGUGAGUAACGCGUGGGUAACCUGCCUCAUACAGGGGGAUAACAGUUGGAAACGACUGCUAAUACCGCAUAAGCGCACAGGAUCGCAUGAUCCGGUGUGAAAAACUCCGGUGGUAUGAGAUGGACCCGCGUCUGAUUAGCCAGUUGGCAGGGUAACGGCCUACCAAAGCGACGAUCAGUAGCCGACCUGAGAGGGUGACCGGCCACAUUGGGACUGAGACACGGCCCAAACUCCUACGGGAGGCAGCAGUGGGGAAUAUUGCACAAUGGGGGAAACCCUGAUGCAGCGACGCCGCGUGAGCGAAGAAGUAUUUCGGUAUGUAAAGCUCUAUCAGCAGGGAAGAAGAAUGACGGUACCUGACUAAGAAGCACCGGCUAAAUACGUGCCAGCAGCCGCGGUAAUACGUAUGGUGCAAGCGUUAUCCGGAUUUACUGGGUGUAAAGGGAGCGCAGGCGGUGCGGCAAGUCUGAUGUGAAAGCCCGGGGCUCAACCCCGGUACUGCAUUGGAAACUGUCGUACUAGAGUGUCGGAGGGAUAAGUGGAAUUCCUAGUGUAGCGGUGAAAUGCGUAGAUAUUAGGAGGAACACCAGUGGCGAAGGCGGCUUACUGGACGAUAACUGACGCUGAGGCUCGAAAGCGUGGGGAGCAAACAGGAUUAGAUACCCUGGUAGUCCACGCCGUAAACGA
This 742-nucleotide ribosomal RNA is filed under the name uncultured bacterium. RNAcentral describes it as "bacterial SSU rRNA". It matches the Rfam family "Bacterial small subunit ribosomal RNA", at positions 60 to 809 of the family's 1533-position model. The record is from RNAcentral.